Molecule: non-coding RNA, 1620 nt
Organism: Durio zibethinus
Lineage: Eukaryota; Viridiplantae; Streptophyta; Magnoliopsida; Malvales; Malvaceae
Source: RefSeq, a predicted model, not a curated record
UCGACGGAAAAAGAGAGGCAAAGGGCAUCAGAAUACAGAAACCAGAAAAUCACUGAAAUCAGAAAUGAAUGGGAGUGCCACAGUGGCAGUGGGCAUUUGCCCCUCCACCUCCAAGCCAUUGAGCAUAGGCUUAAGCCCAAUCCCUAUCCGUUUGCGCUGGAGGAGGAGGAGGUGUUUGAUGAUUGAGGUGGAGGCGGAGCCAACCCGGCCAGAGGCCCAAUCCGUCUCUCGCCGCCUCAUUCUGCUUCGCCAUGCCAAGAGUUCUUGGAAUUAUCCAGCUCUGCGAGAUCAUGACCGUCCUCUCAGUAAAAUCGGACGAGCUGAUGCUGUAGUGGUUUCUCAAAAGCUCCAACAUGUGGGUUGGAUCCCUCAGCUUAUUUUAUCUAGUGAUGCCCUGCGAACCAGGGAAACACUUAAUAUCAUGCAGAAACAGGUGCGUGGUUUCCUGGAAGCAGAGGUCCAUUUUAUCUCUAGUUUUUAUUCCAUUGCAGCCAUGGAUGGACAGACUGCUGAACACCUCCAACGAACUAUCUGUCAGUAUUCGAGGGAUGAAAUACUUACCAUCAUGUGUAUGGGUCAUAAUAGGGGAUGGGAAGAGGCAGCCUCCAUGUUCACUGGUGCUUCCAUAGAGCUCAAGACUUGCAAUGCUGCUUUGCUUGAAGCUACUGGAAAAUCUUGGGAAGAGUGGAGUGGGUUGAAAUUUUUUUUGAAAACAGGUUACAUGAUCGAUGCGGCGUAUGCAGGCUUUCUUUCCCUCUUCUCCUUUAAAAAAAAAAGGAAGGCAUUUGCUGUAGCAGGAUUUGGUGGGUGGAAGCUACAAGGCAUAGUGACACCCAGUAGUAACCUGUAGAGUAUAGACAUUCCAAAAUUUUGAAAUAAUCUGAUUCCUCCACACUCUGCUCUCCCUGCAAGGAAAGAAGAAAUUAUUCAAAAAAGCAUUAUUCAGAGACAGAGUUGCUAUACAGUGUAAAUCGGCUUCCAAUCCCUACAGAUGUAUGUUGUUUGCACUCUGCAGGUUGCAAUUGUUGAAGUCCAUCCUGAUCAAAACAUAGCAGUUGCAGUUUGCACAAGUUUGAAUAUGUGGAAUUGAUGCGUGGCUAUCUUGAAACUGUUUCGUCGUUUGCUAGGUUCAUUAUAUUCCACAAAAAUGAGUCUGCGGCUCUGUUCCGUCAGAUAGAUCUUCUUUUGCUUGACUCUAGUGCGACGAAAAUGAUUAUUUCUAAUAAUUAAUUUGAAGGUUUGACCGUGCGUAAAGGCCUCAAGGGUGACCUUUUUCUUUGUUGCGGCCAACGAAUGACCAUUUGGAAAAUUGAUACGCUUCGGGAAAACUGGGUGGUUCACCUAUGUAGUAAGCAAAAAUAACAAAAAGGUUCAAGGGGACGGGUGUUUACCUAUGUAGCUGCAUAUGUAAUGUCAAUUAGCUACCUUACAAAUAAUCAUGGAAUGAUUGCAAUUGUCCUGCAACUCUGGCAUGAGAUGAGCGGCAAGCUUUGAAGUGAGAAGCCUUAGUAGAGAAGGGCUUUUGCAUUUUAAUUGACAGCGGAUAAUUCUUGUUUGAGAAUCUUCACUUGCAGAGAUUGUGAUUGAUGCUUAAGAUAACGAAUGAGAUAAAUGAUAACU